GCAAGUCGAACGCUCUCGACCUUCGGGUCACAUGAGAGAGUGGCGAACGGGUGAGUAACACGUGAGAAACCUACCCCGGAGACCGGGAUAACCUCGGGAAACCGUGGCUAAUACCGGAUGCCCCCAUCGGACCGCAUGGUCUGAUGAGGAAAGGCUCCGGCGCUCUGGGAGGGUCUCGCGGCCUAUCAGUUAGUUGGUGGGGUAACGGCCUACCAAGGCGACGAUCGGUAGCUGGUCUGAGAGGAUGAUC
RNAcentral lists this ribosomal RNA (250 nucleotides) under uncultured bacterium. RNAcentral's name for it is "partial 16S ribosomal RNA". It matches the Rfam family "Bacterial small subunit ribosomal RNA", at positions 57 to 305 of the family's 1533-position model. The record is from RNAcentral.